Molecule: ribosomal RNA, 465 nt
Filed under: uncultured bacterium
Lineage: Bacteria
Description: partial 16S ribosomal RNA
Rfam family: Bacterial small subunit ribosomal RNA
Source: RNAcentral
CCUACGGGGUGCAGCAGUAGGGAAUCUUCCACAAUGGGCGAAAGCCUGAUGGAGCAACGCCGCGUGGGUGAAGAAGAUCUUCGGAUCGUAAAACCCUGUUGUUAGAGAAGAAAGUGCGUGAGAGUAACUGUUCACGUUUCGACGGUAUCUAACCAGAAAGCCACGGCUAACUACGUGCCAGCAGCCGCGGUAAUACGUAGGUGGCAAGCGUUAUCCGGAUUUAUUGGGCGUAAAGGGAACGCAGGCGGUCUUUUAAGUCUGAUGUGAAAGCCUUCGGCUUAACCGGAGUAGUGCAUUGGAAACUGGGAGGCUUGAGUGCAGAAGAGGAGAGUGGAACUCCAUGUGUAGCGGUGAAAUGCGUAGAUAUAUGGAGGAACACCAGUGGCGAAAGCGGCUCUCUGGUCUGUAACUGACGCUGAGGUUCGAAAGCGUGGGUAGCAAACAGGAUUAGAUACCCUAGUAGUC